RNAcentral lists this ribosomal RNA (420 nucleotides) under uncultured ammonia-oxidizing beta proteobacterium. RNAcentral describes it as "bacterial SSU rRNA". It matches the Rfam family "Bacterial small subunit ribosomal RNA", at positions 196 to 597 of the family's 1533-position model. Lineage: Bacteria; Pseudomonadati; Pseudomonadota; Betaproteobacteria. The record is from RNAcentral.
UUGGAGGAAAGUAGGGGAUCGUAAGACCUUGCGCUUAUGGAGCGGCCGAUGCCUGAUUAGCUAGUUGGUGGGGUAAUGGCUCACCAAGGCUACGAUCAGUAGUUGGUCUGAGAGGACGGCCAGCCACACUGGGACUGAGACACGGCCCAGACUCCUACGGGAGGCAGCAGUGGGGAAUUUUGGACAAUGGGCGAAAGCCUGAUCCAGCAAUGCCGCGUGAGUGAAGAAGGCCUUCGGGUUGUAAAGCUCUUUCAGUCGAGAAGAAAAGGUUGUGACUAAUAAUCACAAUUUAUGACGGUAUCGACAGAAGAAGCACCGGCUAACUACGUGCCAGCAGCCGCGGUAAUACGUAGGGUGCAAGCGUUAAUCGGAAUUACUGGGCGUAAAGGGUGCGCAGGCGGCUUUGUAAGUCAGAUGUGA